Molecule: ribosomal RNA, 253 nt
Filed under: uncultured bacterium
Lineage: Bacteria
Description: partial 16S ribosomal RNA
Rfam family: Bacterial small subunit ribosomal RNA
Source: RNAcentral
GACGAACCGUGCGAACGUUGUUCGGAAUCACUGGGCUUAAAGGGCGCGUAGGCGGGUCACCAAGUCCGGGGUGAAAUCUUUCGGCUUAACCGGAAAACUGCCUUGGAUACUGGUGAUCUCGAGGGAGGUAGGGGUCUGUGGAACUUCUGGUGGAGCGGUGAAAUGCGUUGAUAUCAGAAGGAACGCCGGUGGCGAAAGCGACGGACUGGACCUCCACUGACGCUGAGGCGCGAAAGCUAGGGGAGCAAACGGG